Molecule: long non-coding RNA, 238 nt
Filed under: Daucus carota (carrot)
Lineage: Eukaryota; Viridiplantae; Streptophyta; Magnoliopsida; Apiales; Apiaceae
Description: long non-coding RNA (DCAR_LNC004248)
Source: RNAcentral
UGUAUGUGUUGAUGUAGUAACUAACUUCUAGCUUUUUUUAUAUAUGUGUUGUGCCUGUUUAUGUUAUUCUACAUAAGUGGUCAGAGGAAGGCAGGCAGGAGUGGCUUUCAUCAGGUUGGGAAACGUCUUAGACUUGCAAAGGUGGGACUGUUAAGCUCGAGAGGAAUAAUUCUAGCACAAUCCGAAAGUUGGAGAAAGUUGUUGAUUCUGAAACUUCGUCAUCUGCAAAAAGAAGCAA